Apodemus sylvaticus (European woodmouse) is the source of this 1235-nucleotide long non-coding RNA. RefSeq lists it as uncharacterized. Lineage: Eukaryota; Metazoa; Chordata; Mammalia; Rodentia; Muridae. The record is from RefSeq and is a predicted model, not a curated record. The transcript is spliced from 3 exons.
UCCCUCGGCCCGGGGAGGAGCGGGACAACUCCGAGCAUCAGCUCGAGGGAGUGAGCGCGACCCUGGGCACCGGUUUAAAUCAGUCACCUGAGCACCGAGGGGCCUUGGCGCGAGGAGGAGGGCAGCCGGUGGCGCUCCCGAAAUCCACCCCCCACCCCUCAACUUGGCCCCAAGUUUUCGAGGCGGCUGCGGGCAGGAGGGCUUCCCCACGCCUUAGAUGAACAGAAGAGAUUCUUGGGUCCUAGAGACCAAAGAAAGAAUCAGCAGGAAUGCCCAGGGUGAAUGAUGGAUUGCAGAGCCUGGCUGGUAACUGUGAAUGAAGCUGAGGAGAGAAAUAAAGGAGAUAGUCACCAGUCUACACACUAUGGACCUGUCUACACAGACAGGGUGCAGUCCAAAGACUUCCAGGAAGAAACGGCACCUCUGCCUCCAUAUUCUUUAGUUCCAGAAAGGUGAAAAUUGACACACCGUUAAAACUCAAGGCAACCAAAGCUCCAUGUCCUCAACCAGAGCUCUCAUUUUAAGUCAGGAAAGUCUUUGCUCUGCAUCUUACCUGAUGAGAAGAUGAGAAUGUGUUCUUUGAGAUCCUUUCUUCCACAACAGAAAUAAGUGUUUGUUUUAGAAAAUUUGAAUUGGAUAUUUUUAACCAUCAGUCUCUAAGAUGCCUUGUUGAUAGAGUAAAUUUAAAAAUGAAUCUGUAUUGAAUCUGGACAAAUAAACCACAGUUUGAAGCUCCAAAAGAAAUGCAUACCAUUAACUGUCAUCUUUCAAUAUUAGUUUUCUCUGAAUGUAUGUGGUCAUAAAUCUUUCUUUAUGUUUCUGUCUAUUGGUAAUUUCAUACAAAUGGAAUUGUCUAUGUUAUUUUGCAUUAAUCUUCUUUCAUUUGCAGAUCAUUUUAAAGCAUCAUUCACAACAUAUCUGUGCAUAACUGUGGAUAAUUAUGUAACUUCAAUAUGGGGGUUGCAGUAAAUUUGGCCAAAGCAGAAGACCCUGAAUAUACAGCAACAAAAUCCCUGAUGAUUCAAAAGCAAACACGUGAUGAGUUUAUUGUGUGUCUGUGGUCUUGCUUGCACUGUGGUGCCCUGUCACUUCAUUGCAGUCUGCAUUCGGAAGCACAAGAUUUGCAACGUCUUCUACAGUCCCUCACACCCUGUGGGCUCACCGGUGGCCUGACAUACCUCAGCUCAGGAUUGAAACUAUUGUAUGCAAUUAUUAAAUUCAGUGCUUUUACGAAA